RNAcentral lists this ribosomal RNA (371 nucleotides) under uncultured eukaryote. RNAcentral describes it as "partial 18S ribosomal RNA". It matches the Rfam family "Eukaryotic small subunit ribosomal RNA", at positions 592 to 976 of the family's 1831-position model. The record is from RNAcentral.
CAAUAGCGUAUAUUAAAGUUGUUGCAGUUAAAAAGCUCGUAGUUGGACUUGUGUGCGCCCCCGAUGUCCUAUUUGGUACGUUUGGGGGUGCGCAUCCUUGGGUGGAACCUGUGUGGCAUUAGGUUGUCGGGCAGGGGAUGCUCAUCGUUUACUGUGAAAAAAUUAGAGUGUUCAAAGCAGGCUUACGCCGUUGAAUAUAUUAGCAUGGAAUAAUAGGAUAGGACCUUGGUACUAUUUUGUUGGUUUGCGCACCGAGGUAAUGAUUAACAGGGACAGUUGGGGGUAUUCGUAUUCCAUUGUCAGAGGUGAAAUUCUUGGAUUUUUGGAAGACGAACUACUGCGAAAGCAUUUACCAAGGAUGUUUUCAUUAA